GUAAAAGCUGGCAGAAAGUAUUUGAGAUGACCAAAACCUCAUUUAAGAAAAGCCCUAUUUAUUUGUACUGGGACAAUUUGCCUAUUGAAAAGGUGGAAUUUCGGUUGAAAAAACCAUCAGAUGAUGACGUAUUCAUUUUCCGUGGAACAGGGACGAAUUCUACAUCAUGGUUCCAGAAAGAUAAAAUAAUUAAAACUCCGUUUAA
Octopus sinensis (East Asian common octopus) is the source of this 205-nucleotide long non-coding RNA. RefSeq lists it as uncharacterized. NCBI's taxonomy places the organism in Eukaryota, Metazoa, Mollusca, Cephalopoda, Octopoda, Octopodidae. The record is from RefSeq and is a predicted model, not a curated record. The transcript is spliced from 4 exons.